GAUGAACGCUGGCGGCGUGCCUAAUACAUGCAAGUCGAACGCAUAGCGAAAGGUGCUUGCACCUUUCAAGUGAGUGGCGAACGGGUGAGUAACACGUGGACAACCUGCCUCAAGGCUGGGGAUAACAUUUGGAAACAGAUGCUAAUACCGAAUAAAACUUAGUGUCGCAUGACACAAAGUUAAAAGGCGCUUCGGCGUCACCUAGAGAUGGAUCCGCGGUGCAUUAGUUAGUUGGUGGGGUAAAGGCCUACCAAGACAAUGAUGCAUAGCCGAGUUGAGAGACUGAUCGGCCACAUUGGGACUGAGACACGGCCCAAACUCCUACGGGAGGCUGCAGUAGGGAAUCUUCCACAAUGGGCGAAAGCCUGAUGGAGCAACGCCGCGUGUGUGAUGAAGGCUUUCGGGUCGUAAAGCACUGUUGUAUGGGAAGAACAGCUAGAAUAGGAAAUGAUUUUAGUUUGACGGUACCAUACCAGAAAGGGACGGCUAAAUACGUA
This 497-nucleotide ribosomal RNA is filed under the name uncultured bacterium. RNAcentral describes it as "partial 16S ribosomal RNA". It matches the Rfam family "Bacterial small subunit ribosomal RNA", at positions 28 to 507 of the family's 1533-position model. The record is from RNAcentral.